Molecule: RNase P RNA, 336 nt
Filed under: human gut metagenome
Description: Bacterial RNase P class A
Rfam family: Bacterial RNase P class A
About the family: Ribonuclease P (RNase P) is a ubiquitous endoribonuclease, found in archaea, bacteria and eukarya as well as chloroplasts and mitochondria. Its best characterised activity is the generation of mature 5'-ends of tRNAs by cleaving the 5'-leader elements of precursor-tRNAs. Cellular RNase Ps are ribonucleoproteins.
Source: RNAcentral
GGGACGGACAGCCGCGCAUCUGCGCUGAAAAGCGCCCAUGUGAGGAAAGUCCGGGCACCACAGGGCAAGGAUAACGGGUAACGCCCGCCGAAGGCGACUUCAGGAAAAGUGCAACAGAGAAAUACCGCCCCGCUCGCGGGGUAAGGGUGGAAAGGCGAGGUAAGAGCUCACCCGCCGCAUGGGAACAUUGCGGCGCUGUAAACUCUAUCCGGUGCAACACCGUGGAGGAAGCAUAUGGCCUGCCCGGCCGCUUCCGAGGGGGUGGCUUGAGCGCAGCGGCAACGCUGCGUCGAGAUAGAUGGCUGUCGAUCACAGAACCCGGCUUAUAGUCCCAAU